Molecule: long non-coding RNA, 568 nt
Organism: Amphibalanus amphitrite
Lineage: Eukaryota; Metazoa; Arthropoda; Thecostraca; Balanomorpha; Balanidae
Exons: 3
Source: RefSeq, a predicted model, not a curated record
AUUUAAAUGAAAUCAUAAAUUAGUUUGUUUUAAUGACCUUCAGUCUAGAUAAACGUGACCCUAGUCGUUCUCUCCAAAAAUAACCUACCUAAUUAUCUCAUUUUUUCUUCAUAUGCUGCCUAAAAUCCUGGAUACCUUUUGUCAACGGAACACCACUACCUCCACAAGGCCUCCAUCGCUCUGACUCAUCACUAUGCCGUUUUUUUGCUUCAGGGUCCUCCGCCGGGUAUCUCGUUAAAAAAUAUGGCCGCCGUUGACAUUCGGCGCCCAUGCAGCGACCAGAUGACGGGCUGGCGGUCGGCGAAUGUCGGACGGCGUUGCAGGGCUUGCGUGGACGGAUCUGCACAUCGCUACCGCGGGCGGCGGCUCGAGCCAUGUGCGUCGAAGGCGGCUUCUGUCAGGGGACAGGCGCGCAGUCGCACCGGCGAGACGGAGUCAGAGCAGGGGAGCUCAACAGAGCGGGCAGCAGCAGACGCUGGGUCGGAGGGGGAGGCGCUAUACGACCUCCCGGCGCGAUGGCGAUCUUCACAGAGCUGCCGGCCGUGGCGGGCGGAGGAGCGGAGAAGAC